GGGUCAGUAGGUUGGUCGUGCCACCGGUACGUACUGGUCUCACUGAUUCCUCCUUCCUGAAGAACCGUAAUGCCAUUUAUUUGGUGUUGCGGGGAAACAGGACUGUUACUUUGAAAAAAUUAGAGUGUUUAAAGCAAGCUAACGCUUGAAUACAUUAGCAUGGAAUGAUGAAAUAGGACGAUCGAUCCUAUUUUGUUGGUUUCUAGGUUUGACGUA
RNAcentral lists this ribosomal RNA (216 nucleotides) under Glomeromycotina sp. RNAcentral's name for it is "partial small subunit ribosomal RNA". The stretch from base 40 to 216 matches the Rfam family "Eukaryotic small subunit ribosomal RNA", at positions 686 to 864 of the family's 1831-position model. Lineage: Eukaryota; Fungi; Glomeromycota. The record is from RNAcentral.